Molecule: ribosomal RNA, 253 nt
Filed under: uncultured bacterium
Lineage: Bacteria
Description: partial 16S ribosomal RNA
Rfam family: Bacterial small subunit ribosomal RNA
Source: RNAcentral
UUCGUAGGGGGCAAGCGUUAUCCGGAUUUACUGGGUGUAAAGGGAGCGUAGACGGCUUUGCAAGCCAGAUGUGAAAGCCCGGGGCUCAACCCCGGGACUGCAUUUGGAACUGUGUGGCUAGAGUGUCGGAGAGGCAGGCGGAAUUCCUAGUGUAGCGGUGAAAUGCGUAGAUAUUAGGAGGAACACCAGUGGCGAAGGCGGCCUGCUGGACGAUGACUGACGUUGAGGCUCGAAAGCGUGGGGAGCAAACAGG